This 471-nucleotide ribosomal RNA is filed under the name uncultured bacterium. RNAcentral describes it as "bacterial SSU rRNA". It matches the Rfam family "Bacterial small subunit ribosomal RNA", at positions 28 to 507 of the family's 1533-position model. The record is from RNAcentral.
GAUGAACGCUGGCGGCGUGCCUAACACAUGCAAGUCGAACGAGGCGGCUCAAGGUUUUCGGACAGAGAGUUGACUGAGUGGCGGACGGGUGAGUAACGCGUGGGUAACCUGCCUUAUACAGGGGGAUAACAGUUAGAAAUGACUGCUAAUACCGCAUAAGCGCACAGUACCGCAUGGUACAGUGUGAAAAGCCGAGACGGUAUAAGAUGGACCCGCGUCUGAUUAGCUAGUUGGUGAGGUAACGGCCCACCAAGGCGACGAUCAGUAGCCGACCUGAGAGGGUGAUCGGCCACAUUGGAACUGAGAAACGGUCCAAACUCCUACGGGAGGCAGCAGUGGGGAAUAUUGGGCAAUGGGCGCAAGCCUGACCCAGCAACGCCGCGUGAAGGAAGAAGGUCUUCGGGUCGUAAACUUCUAUCCUUGGUGAAGAUAAUGACGGUAGCCAAGAAGGAAGCCCCGGCUAACUACGUG